Molecule: transfer RNA, 67 nt
Filed under: Bactrocera fulvicauda
Lineage: Eukaryota; Metazoa; Arthropoda; Insecta; Diptera; Tephritidae
Description: tRNA-Ser
Rfam family: tRNA
About the family: Transfer RNA (tRNA) molecules are approximately 80 nucleotides in length. Their secondary structure includes four short double-helical elements and three loops (D, anti-codon, and T loops).
Source: RNAcentral
AGUUAAUGAGCUUGAACAAGCAUAUGUUUUGAAAACAUAAGAUAGAAAUUCAAUUUUCUAUUAACUU